RNAcentral lists this long non-coding RNA (320 nucleotides) under Physcomitrium patens. RNAcentral's name for it is "long non-coding RNA (PPAT_LNC013749)". Lineage: Eukaryota; Viridiplantae; Streptophyta; Bryopsida; Funariales; Funariaceae. The record is from RNAcentral.
CAAAAAACUCUCUAAAUAACAUAUAUGUCUCCGCCUAGAUCUGCCACUACUCUACUUCCUCGUCUACUGUAUACCACACCUUUUGUCGCCUCACCUUACUACCUUCAUUAAUUCUAUUGCAUUCAAAUUGCAAUACUCCAUACCUUAUCUACAUGUUACUAUUGAUAUAAUCUGUCUAAUGUUGUGGUAGAGAGAAUUUGCCUUAAAAAAGCGUUCAAUAUUCAAAUAAUAUAAAAUUUUGAUAUAUAGCUUUUUAACUCAAUAAUAUACACUUUUAAAAAUUUUUAGCUAAAAAUUCAUCUAAAAACUUAAGAUAUGGC